GUCUUCGUGGCUCAGUUGGCUAGAGCGUUGGUCUCAUAUUAGUAUGACCCAAUUGUAACACAUUGGGAUAUCCAAAGGUCGUGAGUUCGAGCCUCACCGAGGACA
Non-coding RNA from Ustulina deusta, 105 nucleotides. NCBI's taxonomy places the organism in Eukaryota, Fungi, Ascomycota, Sordariomycetes, Xylariales, Xylariaceae. The record is from the annotation of a GenBank genome assembly.